GGGAGACCUGUGUGUGGAGCUGAAGUUAAUUAAUGAACAUCAAAUGGUAUUGAGAAAGUGGCUGUGGAGGAGCAGUUUGUUAUGUGAUGAUCAUCUACAGUCCCUUCACAUUACUAAAACCAUUUCAGCUCCUGCGACAGCCAGACGGAAGGAGACAGCAACAUACCAGCCGUUAUCUCCAGGGAGAUGGGAUGUCUGGCUGUCGCCCUACAACGAGGAAGGCUGCUGCUGAGAGCAGGGGGUGCCUACUCAAGUCCUAGAAACAGCAACUAGAUUGUCAGCUGUAUAGGCCCUGCUGUACCGGAAUCCUCUAGUGCUUCUUCAAGGAUUGAUUUACUUCCCCUGCCUUCCAUUGACUGUAGAGGAACCAACCCUGAUACCAAAAUCAAUAACUACUCUAGGAAAUGGCUUCCUGAAAUCCCUCAAGCAGCUGAUUGGUCGACUCCAGGGCUAAUUGGAGAGCUGACCCCGCCCCCUCGUCAAGACACAGCUGUCUCCAAUUACCCAUUCCUUCAGAAGCUAUAUAAAAACCAGUGUUCUGUUCAGAAAAAAAGAUUCUCUUUUUUUGUAGAGGAUUUUGCUGGAGGUAAAUUUGCUAGAGAGAUAUUUUGUAGAGGAUUUUGCUAGAGGUUGAUUUUGCUGGGAGUUCAUUGCUGAGAGUUGGUAUGUUUUGUGAGUUUGUUGCUCAGAUAGAACUUAUUUGAUGUCCUUUGUCUCUUAGUUUGUUUGUGAAAUUGUUUAAUAUUCUGUUUCAUUUGUUCCCAGGGGGGAAGGGGAAGGCACCUAGGGAGUGCUUAGGCAAGAGGCCCGCGGGCAUACAUAUACCCGUAGCAUAUUCGCUGUCUAGGCACACUAGGUAAGACCUGGGCGGACCACCCCUUGUAUUUUGGUUAGGG
This is a long non-coding RNA of Oncorhynchus tshawytscha (Chinook salmon), 896 nucleotides long. Lineage: Eukaryota; Metazoa; Chordata; Actinopteri; Salmoniformes; Salmonidae. The record is from Ensembl.